This 315-nucleotide long non-coding RNA is filed under the name Panicum hallii. RNAcentral describes it as "long non-coding RNA (PHAL_LNC000859)". The record is from RNAcentral. Lineage: Eukaryota; Viridiplantae; Streptophyta; Magnoliopsida; Poales; Poaceae.
GUCAGACAACUGCAAUUAAAAUAGACAAAUAACAGAUGGAACAUAUCAUCAUUGUUCUAGUAGAUGAUCUCAGACAAUAGCAUCUGUUCAAUACAUCAUAGAUGAAUACUUCAUCCUAAAGCACCACUACAUAGAUGAAUACCUAGAUCCUAUUAUUCCCCCUAGUUGCCCACAUUUGCUGAGCCCAUGUAUCCCUCUUUGCAGCCCAUGACCCAUUGUCAACCAUAACAUCAUUGGGUACUGCUUCAUUACUAGGAUUUGGUUGCCAGGUGCCUUCUGGAGGAAUGUGGUCAUCAUGUCCAUGCCGGAUGAUCC